GAUGAACGCUGGCGGCGUGCCUAAUACAUGCAAGUCGAGCGAACAGACGAUGCGCUUGCUCCUCUGACGUUUGCCGCGGACGUGUGUGUCACGCGUGUAUAAUCUACCUAUAUUACUGGUAUAACUUCGGAAAACCGGAUCUAAUACCAUAGAAUAUAUUGCACCGCAUUGUUCAAUAGUGAAUGUCGGUUUUGCUGUCACUUAUAGAUGGAUCCGCGCCGCAUUAGAUAGUUGUUACGUUAACGGCUUAGGAAGGGAAGUAGGCGUAGACGAAGUGAGAGAGUGAUAGGCCACACUGGAACUGAGACACGGUCCAGACUCCUACGGGAGGGCGCAGUAGGGAAUGGUACGCAGUAGGCGAAAGCUUGACGGAGCAGCGCCGCGUGAGUUGUGAAGGUCUUCGGUUCGUAAAACUCUGUUACUAGGGAAGAACAAAUGUGUAAGUAGAUAUGCACGUAUUGACGGUACCUGAUAAGAAAGCCACGGCUAACUACGUG
This 497-nucleotide ribosomal RNA is filed under the name uncultured bacterium. Its description in RNAcentral is "partial 16S ribosomal RNA". It matches the Rfam family "Bacterial small subunit ribosomal RNA", at positions 28 to 507 of the family's 1533-position model. The record is from RNAcentral.